Molecule: transfer RNA, 65 nt
Filed under: Nesophrosyne ponapona
Lineage: Eukaryota; Metazoa; Arthropoda; Insecta; Hemiptera; Cicadellidae
Description: tRNA-Tyr
Source: RNAcentral
AUUAAGAUGUCUGAAAAAAGUGGCAAACUGUAAAUUUGCUUAUGGAUUUAUAAAUCCUUUUAAUA